UACGGGGGGGGCAAGCGUUGUUCGGAAUUACUGGGCGUAAAGGGCUCGUAGGCGGCCAACUAAGUCAGACGUGAAAUCCCUCGGCUUAACCGGGGAACUGCCUCUGAUACUGGAUGGCUUGAGAUUGGGAGAGGGAUGCGGAAUUCCAGGUGUAGCGGUGAAAUGCGUAGAUAUCGGGAGGAACACCAGUGGCGAAGGCGACUACCUGGCCUGUUCUUGACGCUGAGGCGCGAAAGCUAGGGGAGCAAACGGG
This 253-nucleotide ribosomal RNA is filed under the name uncultured bacterium. RNAcentral's name for it is "partial 16S ribosomal RNA". It matches the Rfam family "Bacterial small subunit ribosomal RNA", at positions 524 to 776 of the family's 1533-position model. The record is from RNAcentral.